This 2426-nucleotide unclassified non-coding RNA is filed under the name Dermacentor andersoni. Its description in RNAcentral is "uncharacterized LOC126547059". The record is from RNAcentral. Lineage: Eukaryota; Metazoa; Arthropoda; Arachnida; Ixodida; Ixodidae.
AGUGCAGCGCCGAAGUCGGUCCCGACUGUUGGUCGUUGUUCCCAAAGAAUGCUAAUCGCAUUAAAAAGCAAGAAAGAGGUUGAUAGUGUCGGAGCCAUUACAGCCAGAGGUUUUAAUGAAGAGAUAUGAAGGAGAGAUUGCUGACGCAAUCCUCUAGCCGCCCCGUUCUGUUCCGUCUAUAUAGAGAAUACUCUACAAAGCACUAAUAGCUAUCAUCGUCAUUGAAGCGGCGGCGCUAAGAGCGGCUAAUCUCGUCAAGACGUUCAAGAUUCGAGUUGCAGGGCUACAUAGGUGUGUAGGUGUUCUGUGGAGCUGCUACACGGAAGACGCUACCAAGCGCGAGAGCUGACUCGGCAAGCUGGUCCUUUUACUUUUUUUCCUUCCGAUACAGCGACGCUACACGACGCACGGUUACCGUUUGCCAUCGCCUGUCGUCGCCAUCCUGUUGAGCUCUAAAAACUGCCAAGCUGCCGAUUUUAAGCAUGGCUAACGUCGGCACAACUUUCAUGCGACAGUCUAGCUCGUUGGACGUCGUAGCGAAGAAGAUUAGGCAUGGACGAGAUGCUGCCUGUGCAGAUGCCAGGAAUGCUCCCCAUCUACUAUGUUGAACACACUCAUAAUUAAAAUGUUCACCCCACAUUGCUGGCUGAACUGGUUAAAUGACACAUUCACUUGCAAAGCACUAUUUCACUUGACUCUCUCAAGUAUCGGGCCUUAGAAAAGUGGUCUCUCUCUCAAGUAUCCAGCCAGCAGGCAUCUAUGGACAUUGGAAAUCCUGCCAUCAACAAUGGUAAUUCCAUCUACCAUGCAAAUUCUGGUGGCCUGGAUCCGACACGAGCUCACAGCCCAUUCACUGGAAAUUGCAGUUCCAUCACAGUCACACAAGAUGGAUGGCAGCUUCCAGCCUGGCGAGAUCGGAGAAAACAUCUUGGAAGGCUGUCUAAGCGUGGCUCUCGUCACCCAAAUGGCAGCUGCAAUCUUCCAAGCUGCUCUCAUUAUCUCACGAGUGGAAUACUUGUGAGCAGACCACCCCGUCACGUGUAGCUCUGCUAAGCAGUACUCUUUUUGAUUCGAUUUCACCUUGUGAGCAGACCACCCCGUCUCUUUUCUUGUUUUGCAUUUUUCUUGUGAGCAGACCACCCUGUCUGUCUUCUUAUUGUGAAUUUUUCUUGUGAGCUGACCACCCUGCACUGUAAUGGUCAGUGAAGUAAUUGUUUCUUCAUUUGUAGUUUACUAUGUGAUGCGAAAGAGCGUGCCUUUUAUAAAAGAAUCCUGUGAUAUAACUUUUGAGAAAUGCAGCUUUUGUAGCGAUAGUGUCUUUGAUGCUAUAAGUGCCUUGGUGUAGGCAGCUGUAGAGCUGCCGCAUCUCUAUAGCUCAGGACAUGCACUUAGUGUCUUUGUGGAAUUGACCCUCUACAUUUGUCAUAUACAUGACUUAAAGGAGAUAGAUUUGCCAAAAUUUUCAAUAUUUAUUGGUUUGUCUCAAGCUGCAUUUUGCAGCUUUAGGGCUCAUUCACACCGGUGACUCGCAGAGGUCACGUGACUGCAGUCGCAAAGCUUCUGAACUAAUCAUAUGUUCAGGAACUGUAUACGUCGACGCGCACUUUAUGUAGAGAUAGUGGUACAAGCAGACGUGAACAGCAUCAAUGAUGCAACAUUUUGAUGUUGCAGCAGACAUGUUGCACUUACCAGGUGACCUUCGCUCACAAUGAGUCGCUCUUUGGUAACCAGUCAUGCAACCUGUCAAUCGCCAAUGUGAUUGAGCCCUUAGAUUGUUGUGGAGUAUUACAGCAAAACAGCUCGGUGCACAUUGAACACGGCGGGCAAGCCACUGGUGCAGAAGAGCAUAACUAAGUUGAAAUGACAGCCAAAUGGAGCAAGACAUCAGCCAGGAUUGAUGCAUCCAUGUGACACGUCAUGCUGACCACGCUGUAAUCCUGGCCAAAAUGCGUUCUCUUUGUUUACAAAUUUCAGCACAUGUUAUGAAAGCUAAAGCGUUACCUUUUGCCUCAGUGGUUCAGAUAAGAAACCAUAAGUGUACACAUAUGAAAAGACAUUUUAUUGCACACAAUGUUUCAGUCAAAAUUGGGUGGUAACAUCCUCACACACAGCAUGUAUGUGCUUGUGAACAUAGCAAAUUAUUUCGAUGAAACUGUCUAGCUGUGAAUCUUGUUCAUCUGUUGGCUGACUUGGUAAAACCUUGAAAUUUUGAAAGCAUAAAGAAUAUCCCCAAACCAAUGAUAAUUUCUGGCUGUGGUUUUGUAGUGAUGAAAAUUUUUAUUGCCAGUUUGAAUUGUUUUGAAAGUGCACACAGCCCAUUGCUUGCAUUUAUACAUUGUCCUUUAGCCACAACAGUGAAAUGUUAAGAACAAGCACUGUUUCAUGGUUCUGUUGACCAAAAUAAAAAAUUAGUUUGUUAAAAACAA